Long non-coding RNA from Symphalangus syndactylus (siamang), 1081 nucleotides. RefSeq lists it as uncharacterized. NCBI's taxonomy places the organism in Eukaryota, Metazoa, Chordata, Mammalia, Primates, Hylobatidae. The record is from RefSeq and is a predicted model, not a curated record.
CCCUUUCCGGGCUCUGCAGAUGAGCCCUGGCAGCCCUCCCCUGGCCGUCUGGACCCAGGCCUGCCUGUCUUGGUGCAUUUUAGGACAUUAAGUCUGGCUGGAACCUGAGAGCGUCAGCCAUGCGGGGAGUUUCCCUACAGGAACCCUGUGUUGCCUGCCACCAGGGAAGGCGUCCCUUUGCUGUGUCUUCAUCUUCCACUGUGGUUGCGAGGCCUUCCCCAGCCAUGUGAAACCGGACGAGGUCUUGCCACGUUGCCCGCGCUGGUCUCGAACUCCUGGACUCAAGCAAUCCUCCUGCCUCAGCCUCCCAAAGUGCUGGGAUUAAAAUGAUGGGAUUUCACCAUGUUGGCUGGUGUUGAACUCCUGACCUCAAGUGAUCCACCCACCUCGGCCUCCUAAAAUGCUGGGAUUACAGGUGUGAAACACUGUGCUUGGCUGUAAAAUGUUUCUUAUUAGACCUAAAAGGGUGCCUGGCUCUUAGUUGAUUAUCUGCUGGUUCUGGAAAGGAAGGAGAAAAAAAAAGGCAGGGGAAAGAGGAUUCUUUAUAGAAUGUGGAUUUUUCCUGCAAGGGACGGCUUUGCAGGGCCAUUUCAAGAUAUGGCAGAGACACGUGUGCACGUGUCUUUAUAGCAGCAUGAUUUAUAAUCCUUUGGGUAUAUACCCAGCAAUGAGAUGGCUGGGUCAAAUGGUAUUUCUAGUUCUAGAUCCCUGAGGAAUCGCCACACUGGCUUCCACAAUGGUUGAACUAGUUGACAGUCUCACCAACAGUGUAAAAGUGUUCCUAUUUCUCCACAUCCUCUCCAGCACCUGUUGUUUCCUGACUUUUUAAUGAUCGCCAUUCUAACUGGUGAGAGAUGGUAUCUCAUUGUGGUUUUGAUUUGCAUUUCUCUGAUGGCCAGUGAUGAGCAUUUUUUCAUGUGUCUGUUGGCUGCAUAAAUGUCUUGUUUUGAGAAGUGUCUGUUCAUAUCCUUCAUAUGUUUAUUGUGGCACUAUUCACAAUAGCAAAGACUUGGAACCAACCCAAAUGUCCAACAAUGAUAGACUGGAUUAAGAAAAUGUGGCACAUAGACACCAUGGAAUA